RNAcentral lists this long non-coding RNA (2921 nucleotides) under Parus major (Great Tit). RNAcentral describes it as "lncRNA (ENSPMJG00000000510.1)". The record is from RNAcentral. Lineage: Eukaryota; Metazoa; Chordata; Aves; Passeriformes; Paridae.
CCUCUCUGGUUCAGGAGGACAGGGAAAGGACAGUUUUAAUCCAGGAGGGAUUUAAACACAGAAGGGUCUCUGUGCCAGGGGAAGCUGAGCCACGGUGGGGUGCUGCUGGUGGAGCAGAGAUUGUAAUAUCUCAUAAUAUCUGCUGUGAUAAAAAAAAGAGUCCAGCCAGGAGGAGUUUGUUUAAGAGAGAAUUAUUUAUUAGAAGAUAGGAGGUUGUUACGUACAGAUUCUGUCCUGCAAAAGUGUCCUGGUCAAGGAAAUGUCAGGGAGACAUUUAAAGCCACCGAGCUGGCCCUGCUCUCCACGCUGAGAUACUCAGACACUGCAGAGCCCUGCCAGGCCUGGCUGCACGCCGGGCUCAGCUGGGACAGCCGGGUACCACAGCAUCCCUGGGCUCGUGUCACCGCCUGCAUCCCACAGGAAAGGUGUGGGGACAGCAGCAGGGACACUGCUCUUCCCUGGGCUCACCUGGGACAAUUCCCCAGGCAGGGAAUGGCUUCCAUCGGGCCAGCCAGGAACGUGGCUGAGCAAGAGACACAACCAUGCUGUGAGGUAGCAUGAGGAAAAUCAAAGAAAAAAGGAAAAGGACAAGCAAAGGUCUCUGUGAUUCAGAGAAGAGCUCUCGCUCACCCCAAAGCAGGCCAAGCAGCGUGGCUGAGCCCCUGGAGAAGCAGCACUUGUGCCUCCAGAGCCGUGUUCCCUGGAGCCCAGCCCUGCUGGCCCUGGGGCUCUGUCCAUCCCUGCUGGCCCCGGGGCUCUGUCGGGCACUGCCCGAGUGCCGAGGCUGCUGCCAGGGCUGGCACCUCCUGAGCAGCCCCAGAGCCGUGGGCAGCUCUGCUGGAGGAGGCACAGCACAGCAGAGGGGAAGGAAAGGCUUCCCCACGCCCUGGCAAUGCCAGCAGGGCCCAGACCCUGCCCCGUGGCUGCUCAGGGGCUCACGGCACCUUCGGGCUUGGAUCCACGGCAUCCCCUGGGCUCCUCCUCGCUCCAGCAUCUUCCUGUUCCACUGCACCUGUGCCAGAGCAGCCCUGACUCCUGACAGACAAACAGCCAAAUACACAUUGUCCCAGCAUCUAGCAGGUUUCUUAAAGGAAGGUAUUAUCCAAAAGAAAAUCUGUGUAACUUUCUAAUUUAUGGGUGCUGAAAUAAUUAUUCUGGAGUCUGAUUUCUCCGUCUGGUCCUCUGAAGAAGCCACAUUCUUGUCUUUGCUGGCUGGGGCAGAAUAUUACCUUCACUCACUGUCUGUAAAGUCCCAUCUCGCUCUAACUUUCCUUAUUAAAUCCUCAUUAUGGUUCCAGAGACUACAUGAAAAACGCUGGGUGUGAUCCCCCACUUUGCUCCUAGAGUACACAACCUUUUGUCUACUAUCAGCACUCCAUCAGGAUUAUUGUCCUUUCAGUCCUCAGUAAUCUGAAGGAUUGUUAAACCAGGUUGGACCAAAAAUAUUGUUGGACCAGCUUUGUCAGAAAUGUAACAUAAUUGUCAGAAACAUCUGUUUCUGGCUCAGCCAUCACCACAUCUCUCUCCUCAUCUCCAUCCAAGAGUAGCCUUUGUUAGCUUGGAAUACCAGAAAGCUUUGGAACAAGAGGUCUGGCAAUGGAUGUCCACAGCUGACACCAACAGCAGCACAGAAGAUGGGUCAGACUACCGAGCUCAGACAGGGCAUUUGUGAGACAACAAUUCCCCUUCCCUGCAGAUGAGCUGCAGGGCUGGAGCUCCUGGGGAUGCAGAGUAACAGGAAUACUGGGGCCAUAAAGCAAAGCAGCAGAGCUCCAGUUAUCUCUAGGGUAGGAAACACUCAGCACUGAGAUAGCUUUGCUACAGAUAUGUCUAUUUUAAAUCAGGCUUUAUGUCCCUAAGGCACUCAGACUCCUUUUUUGGAACAUGUACCUGAAUGCAUUUGAUGUUUGGGGAUGGGAGGGUUAAGAAAAAUGUUCCCCAAGGACACCCACAUGAAGGGAAGAGAUGAUCCAGACCCACUGAGUUAUCAAAACCUCUGGAGCAAUCAUGAUCACAUCUUCAGCUUUUUAAGGAUUUCAGCAGCACUGGAUGUGCUCUCACUUUCUUCACUCUCUGGAAAGGGGCAAGCUGGGGAAGCUGGGCCCUCUGAGAGCAAGCCAGAGCUCCUCACUCACUGUUUGCUAGGAAACAACAAAUCUGGAGGUUUGAUCUGCCCUUAAAGCUGGUUUAAUUCCAGCUCAGUCAGGUGGGAGGAACACAGAGCAGACAACAGAAUAGCUCAUUUGGAUUUCAGCCUAACGUUUUUGUUCCAUUAUUGUCUUCCAGAUCCGGUUCUUUGGCCACCCACGAUGAAAACGUGUCCCUGCCAAGACCUCCUGGAACACCUUGAGGAGUGAAGCUCCCCUGCCAGAGCUGCCUGGGUGCUGCAGAUGGGAAAAGCUUUCCUGGAUGUUUCCAGAGAGGAAAGGCAGGAGAGAGGGAUGUUUUCCCUCCAGAGCAAAGGUACAGGAGCCUUUUUCCUGGGGCCAGACGAGGGCCAGCAGUGCUGAGCAUCCCCCAGGGGCUGCCAGCAGAGCUCCUGGAGCCUGUGCCAUGCUCAGGACAGAGGGGCACAGCCCAGGGCUCAGUCCCAGGCCUGCUGGCACCAGGGCAUGGCUGUGUUUGAGUAUCUCAGCUGGGCUCACAGGACCAGCUCUGACAGUCCCCAAAGGCAGAGAACGUUGGAGUUUCUGUGUGAAUGGCGUUACAGGGGAUGGCUGUCACACAGAAAGAUUUUGAACAUUAAUUACAGUAUCUUUUGUAACUUUAUCAUUUAAUUGCCAACCCUUUUCCCUUCAAUUAACCAUGGAUGUACAGCAUAUAAUCGAACAAGCUUUUUUUAAAAAGUACAUCUUAAUAUAAAUAGUUUAUUCAGUGCAUGGUUGUGUAUACAACAAAUAAUAAACAACUUUUUUGUACCA